Molecule: ribosomal RNA, 364 nt
Filed under: uncultured eukaryote
Lineage: Eukaryota
Description: SSU rRNA
Rfam family: Eukaryotic small subunit ribosomal RNA
Source: RNAcentral
CAAUAGCGUAUAUUAAAGUUGUUGCGGUUAAAAGCUCGUAAGUUGGUUUCUGUUGAGGAUGGCCGGUCCGCUCUAUGAGCGUGUAUCUGGUUCAGCCUUGGCAUCUUCUUGGGAAGCGUAGCUACGCUUGAUUGCGCGGUGCGGUAUUCAAGACUUUUACUUUGAUGGAAAUUAGAGUGUUCACGGCAGGCAUUCGCCUUGAAUAUAUUAGCAUGGAAUAAUAAUAUAGGACCUUGGUUCUAUUUUGUUGGUUUCUAGAACUAAGGUAAUGAUUAAUAGGGAUAAUUGGGCGGAUUUGUAUUAACGCGUCAGAGGUGGAAUUCUUGGAUUGCGUUACGACAAACUACUGCGAAAGCAUUUGCCA